RNAcentral lists this ribosomal RNA (460 nucleotides) under uncultured bacterium. RNAcentral describes it as "partial 16S ribosomal RNA". It matches the Rfam family "Bacterial small subunit ribosomal RNA", at positions 338 to 795 of the family's 1533-position model. The record is from RNAcentral.
CCUACGGGUGGCAGCAGUGAGGAAUAUUGGUCAAUGGACGAGAGUCUGAACCAGCCAAGUAGCGUGAAGGAUGACUGCCCUAUGGGUUGUAAACUUCUUUUAUAAAGGAAUAAAACGAGGCACGUGUGCCUUUUUGCAUGUACUUUAUGAAUAAGGAUCGGCUAACUCCGUGCCAGCAGCCGCGGUAAUACGGAGGAUCCGAGCGUUAUCCGGAUUUAUUGGGUUUAAAGGGAGCGUAGAUGGGUUGUUAAGUCAGUUGUGAAAGUUUGCGGCUCAACCGUAAAAUUGCAAUUGAUACUGGCAGUCGUGAGUACAGUUGAGGUAGGCGGAAUUCGUGGUGUAGCGGUGAAAUGUUUAGAUAUCACGAAGAACCCCGAUUGCGAAGGCAGCUUACUAAACUGUGACUGACAUUGAUGCUCGAAAGUGUGGGUAUCAAACAGGAUUAGAUACCCGAGUAGUC